UACAGAGGUCUCAAGCGUUGUUCGGAUUCAUUGGGCGUAAAGGGCGCGUAGGCGGCAAGGCAAGUCGGGUGUGAAAGCUUGGGGCUUAACCCCGAAAGGGCACUCGAAACUGCCCUGCUAGAGGGCCGGAGAGGAGAUCGGAAUUCACGGUGUAGCAGUGAAAUGCGUAGAGCUCGUGAGGAAGACCGGUGGCGAAGGCGGAUCUCUGGGCAGUAACUGACGCUGAGGAGCGAAAGCGUGGGGAGCGAACAGG
RNAcentral lists this ribosomal RNA (253 nucleotides) under uncultured bacterium. RNAcentral's name for it is "partial 16S ribosomal RNA". It matches the Rfam family "Bacterial small subunit ribosomal RNA", at positions 524 to 776 of the family's 1533-position model. The record is from RNAcentral.